CUGCACAUUGCUUGCGACGGUUCUUUUCUCACUCGCCGGCCCGAGACCUCUCCCCUUCCUACCCUGCAUCAACUGCAGCUGGUCUGCGGCAGGCAGGGUGUGAGGGGUUCCUGGCGGAAAACAAACGUCUACUGGGAGCUGCUGGGUUUGGGCCAGUUUGUUAGGCAGCACAGGCGACAGACAGGUGCCUGCAGAGCCUCUUUCCCUACACGAAAUCUCCAAGUACAGCUCUCAUGCCGUGCUUCCAAGACUGUGGGAGCAACCGACGAGGCCCAGCCCACAGCCCCACCUGACAAGACUGCCCCUCGACCUGGAUCACUCCUCACUCUGGCCACACCUGCCCAGGGCAGGGGGAGGGGCCGCUUGAGUCAAACCCGGAAUGAGCAGGGCAACUCCAGAACCCUCUCCCAUCAGCUGGCAUUGGGUAUGACACGGGACAUCGCAGGUCUACCUGGUCCCCACCAGAACGAGAGGGAGCUGGCUGAAGCCUGCAGCUGCGCACCCUCUGCAGAAUGGAAGUGAGUACUUCCACGCCAUGUCUCGGCUCCUGGGGCAGCUGCCACCCGCGGCCUGCAGUUCAGGUCCCGGUCCCCCUGCCACAGCCCCAAGCAGG
Molecule: long non-coding RNA, 613 nt
Filed under: Heterocephalus glaber (naked mole-rat)
Lineage: Eukaryota; Metazoa; Chordata; Mammalia; Rodentia; Bathyergidae
Description: lncRNA (ENSHGLG00000039897.1)
Source: RNAcentral